CAGUAGCCACGGGAAUACGAAGGGUGCAAGCGUUACUCGGAAUUACUGGGCGUAAAGCGUGCGUAGGCGGUGGUUUAAGUCCGUUGUGAAAGCCCUGGGCUCAACCUGGGAAUUGCAGUGGAUACUGGGUCACUAGAGUGUGGUAGAGGAUAGUGGAAUUUCCGGUGUAGCAGUGAAAUGCGUAGAGAUUGGAAGGAACAUCUGUGGCGAAGGCGACUAUCUGGGCCAACACUGACACUGAGGCACGAAAGCGUGGGGAGCAAACAGGAUUAGAUACCCCCGUAGUCCCUGUCUCUUAUAC
RNAcentral lists this ribosomal RNA (301 nucleotides) under uncultured bacterium. RNAcentral's name for it is "partial 16S ribosomal RNA". It matches the Rfam family "Bacterial small subunit ribosomal RNA", at positions 509 to 807 of the family's 1533-position model. The record is from RNAcentral.